AAUAAUGUGCACAGAAUGGUCAACGCUCUUUCACCUGCACCCAUCAGGAAACGGGAGAAAGCUUUGAAGUGGGACAUAUCAAGUUACGUACACAACUAUGAGGUUGAGAAUGAAGGG
Molecule: long non-coding RNA, 117 nt
Organism: Sander lucioperca (pikeperch)
Lineage: Eukaryota; Metazoa; Chordata; Actinopteri; Perciformes; Percidae
Exons: 3
Source: RefSeq, a predicted model, not a curated record